RNAcentral lists this ribosomal RNA (782 nucleotides) under uncultured bacterium. RNAcentral describes it as "bacterial SSU rRNA". It matches the Rfam family "Bacterial small subunit ribosomal RNA", at positions 8 to 796 of the family's 1533-position model. The record is from RNAcentral.
AGAGUUUGAUCCUGGCUCAGAUUGAACGCUGGCGGUAUGCUUAACACAUGCAAGUCGAACGGUAGAUACUUCGGUAUCGAGAGUGGCGGACGGGUGAGUAACGCGUAGGAAUCUGCCUGUUAGUGGGGGACAACGUGGGGAAACUCACGCUAAUACCGCAUACGCCCUACGGGGGAAAGGAGGGGAUCUUCGGACCUUUCGCUAACAGAUGAGCCUGCGUUGGAUUAGCUAGUUGGUAGGGUAAAGGCCUACCAAGGCGACGAUCCAUAGCUGGUCUGAGAGGACGAUCAGCCACACUGGUACUGAGACACGGACCAGACUCCUACGGGAGGCAGCAGUGAGGAAUAUUGGUCAAUGGGCGAGAGCCUGAACCAGCCAUCCCGCGUGCAGGAUGACGGCCCUAUGGGUUGUAAACUGCUUUUCUGCUCCAAGAAACCCACCUACGUGUAGGUGGUUGACGGUAGAGUAGGAAUAAGCAUCGGCUAACUCCGUGCCAGCAGCCGCGGUAAUACGGAGGAUGCAAGCGUUAUCCGGAUUCAUUGGGUUUAAAGGGUGCGCAGGUGGGAAUGUAAGUCAGUGGUGAAAUACUGCCGCUUAACGGUAGAGCUGCCAUUGAUACUGCGUUUCUUGAGUAUGGUUGAGGUAGGUGGAAUGUGUUGUGUAGCGGUGAAAUGCAUAGAUAUGACACAGAACGCCGAUUGCGAAGGCAACUUACUAAGCCAUUACUGACGCUGAGGCACGAAAGCGUGGGUAGCGAACAGGAUUAGAUACCCUGGUAGUCC